AUGGCCUGGACCUUGCUCCUCCUGUGCUUCCUGGCUCACUGCACAGGUUCUCUGUCUUCCUAUGAGGUGAAUCAGGCACCCUCAUUCUCUGUAAGCCUGAGAGGGGAGGCCAAGAUGACCUGUGCGGGAGACAGCAUUGGAAGCAAACAUGUUUCCUGGUACCAGCAGAAGCCAGGCCUGGCCCCUGUGCUGGUCAUCUUCAAGGAUAGUGAACGACCCUCAGGGAUACCUGAUUGUUUCUCUGGCUCCAACUCUGGGAACCUGGCCACGCUGACCAUCACGGGAGUCCCGGCUGAGGAUGAGGCUGACUAUUACUGUGCAGCAGCUGGUAGCAUUGAGGGCAGCUGGCAGUAUCCACAGUGGCACAGACACUGA
Sorex fumeus (smoky shrew) is the source of this 375-nucleotide non-coding RNA. The record is from the annotation of a RefSeq genome assembly. Lineage: Eukaryota; Metazoa; Chordata; Mammalia; Eulipotyphla; Soricidae.